AUUGAACGCUGGCGGCAUGCUUUACACAUGCCAGUCGAACGGUAACAGGCCGCAAGGUGCUGACGAGUGGCGAACGGGUGAGUAAUGCAUCGGAACGUGCCCAGUCGUGGGGGAUAACUACUCGAAAGAGUAGCUAAUACCGCAUACGAUCUAUGGAUGAAAGCGGGGACCGUAAGGCCUCGCGCGAUUGGAGCGGCCGAUGUCAGAUUAGGUAGUUGGUGGGGUAAAGGCUCACCAAGCCAACGAUCUGUAGCUGGUCUGAGAGGACGACCAGCCACACUGGGACUGAGACACGGCCCAGACUCCUACGGGAGGCAGCAGUGGGGAAUUUUGGACAAUGGGCGCAAGCCUGAUCCAGCAAUGCCGCGUGCAGGAAGAAGGCCUUCGGGUUGUAAACUGCUUUUGUACGGAACGAAACGGCUCUGGUUAAUACCCGGGGCUAAUGACGGUACCGUAAGAAUAAGCACCGGCUAACUACGUG
RNAcentral lists this ribosomal RNA (481 nucleotides) under uncultured bacterium. Its description in RNAcentral is "partial 16S ribosomal RNA". It matches the Rfam family "Bacterial small subunit ribosomal RNA", at positions 30 to 507 of the family's 1533-position model. The record is from RNAcentral.